AAGUCGUAACAAGGUUUCCGUAGGUGAACCUGCGGAAGGAUCAUUAUCGAUUCGUCCCGAGCUGUGCGCCUUCGGGCUGCACGCUCGCUUCUCUUCUCUCACCCCCGUGCACUUUCGCGGGCGCCCUUCGCGGGGUUGCCCUGCUCACCCACACCUUUAUGUAUGUCCUGGAUGUCUUUUUUAUUAUUAUACAACUUUCGGCAACGGAUCUCUUGGCUCUC
RNAcentral lists this unclassified non-coding RNA (221 nucleotides) under air metagenome. RNAcentral's name for it is "partial contains small subunit ribosomal RNA, internal transcribed spacer 1, and 5.8S ribosomal RNA". The stretch from base 1 to 46 matches the Rfam family "Eukaryotic small subunit ribosomal RNA", at positions 1786 to 1831 of the family's 1831-position model. The record is from RNAcentral.